UGCAGGGGUGCUGCCUGGGCAGAGCUGCUUCUCCCAGGCCUCCACCAUAGUACUGCAGCCCCAGCGCUGCGCUGCCACUGGCCGUGUGUCCCCCUUCUCACACUUCCUGUUUGUCUCUCUGUUCCUCGUCUGCCAGGAGGAGAGCCAGAAGAUGCAGUUUCUCCGGAGCAUCUGCAAAGUGUGCAACACCAGCAGGGCCCCCGGCAUGUCAAAAGGGCUAGACCUCUUCUGCCAGAGAUACGAGCUGGCAGAGAAUAUCAAGAUGCUGCUAGAAGAGGAGCGCAGCGGCCAAAUGUGGAUGGCGGUGCAGCAACACGCCAUGCUUGCCAUUGCCAAACUGAGCACAGUGGAGGGGGUGCUGGAGGGCAAAGAGAAAAGCCUCCUCCAAGUGUGCUUCUGCAGCAUCUUCUUGGCUCCUCCAAAAGAGGAAAUGCAGGGCCUGAGCCAUGACCUCUACCCUGUGACCAUGCAAACCAUGGACAUCAUGUUAAAAAAGCUGAUGCUCGGGUGUCGUGUCUCCAGAGUCAGCGAGAUGCUGCAGGACAUCUUCCAGGUCUGGCAUGUGCAAAGAGUGGGCUUCACAAGGGCCCUGGGGAGAUGGGGAGUCCGGUCUGGAGUGGACAGUCCCACCCCACGCCAUGCAGAGAGAGUGCACUGCUGGGGGGCUGCCCCCCUCCCUGGGGGAACCAGGGGCUGCCCACCAGGCUGUUCCACAUCACAGUGGCCGCAGAGAGUGGCAUCUGCCUUCCUGCCUGCCUGCAGGGCUGGCCCAGGGUCUCAAGCCUGCGUGGGACCCCAGGGCAGGAACCUCACUACAGGCUUUGCUCAAGACCAGAGGAAGCCUUAACGGACUGGGCACGUGCAGCCCAGGGACUGAGCAGCGCUGCUUCUGCUGGAGCAGCGGCUGCUCCCAGGGCUCACCAGCCGCUUCUCUCUUCCCAGAUGCUCUUGACUUUCACCAAGUCCAGGAAGGCAUCUGUGCGGGAGAGGGCUAUAGGCAGGAUGACCAUGCUGAGCCAUUUGCUGGCCAACUUGCUGAAGGCUGAUCCAAAUGGGGACAGACAGGCUUCCUACGCAGAGAUCCAGCUGCCAAUCCUCGGACAGCUGCUAGGACAUCUCAUCCUGCUCCUGUCGUUCAAGGAGGAAGAGACCAGCCGUUUGGCUUUGGAUAUUCUUUGUUCCCUCUUCCAAUUCAAGCAUCAGCAACGCUGUGCGACACUGCCAGAGGAGAACGCACAGCUCCAAGGGGACUGGAAAGCUAAGACCACUGCCUUGCGCUCUUCGCCCAGCGUCGCACACAUUACCGAG
Columba livia (rock pigeon) is the source of this 1308-nucleotide RNA transcript. RefSeq lists it as uncharacterized. Lineage: Eukaryota; Metazoa; Chordata; Aves; Columbiformes; Columbidae. The record is from RefSeq and is a predicted model, not a curated record. The transcript is spliced from 6 exons.